CAGCCACGAAGCUUCCCUCCAAUAUCCCCAACCCCCACCUUGCUCAAAACCCUAAUCUCGCUGCGCACCACCGACACGGCCAAAUCCCCGGUCGCCGCCACCGACGACCACUCCGUCACCGCCAUUGAGAUCCAGCACUCUGACCUAGGCGAGAAGGCGAGCCUCGUCGACGCUGAUCACCGGAUCGGGGAUCGGCGGCGGCAGCUGAGGAGGAGCACCGAGCACGAACACUACACCAGCGACCUCCUCCACCACCGUGCCGAGCUGAGCAAGCUCAGCGAGGACCCGGGGAGGGACCGAAGGGACCGAGAGGCCACGCUGAUCAUCCUCACACUAUAG
RNAcentral lists this long non-coding RNA (339 nucleotides) under Oryza sativa Indica Group (long-grained rice). RNAcentral describes it as "lncRNA OsLaMu_11g0022480". The record is from RNAcentral. Lineage: Eukaryota; Viridiplantae; Streptophyta; Magnoliopsida; Poales; Poaceae.